GUCAUUGUCAUUCAAAGUUUGUCUGUGGGAUCCCACACGUCCUUCGCUCCGUUCCAGACGAAAAUCCCGGAAAAUGCCUGGAAAUUAACGAAAACCGUAAAUUAAACCGGUAAUUUUUCGGUGCCGCGAGUGAAAUGCACGAUGGCAGUGUUAGUUCCCAAUUUACACGGACAGAAUAUCCACAGUCACCUCACCAGAAGCUUGGAAAAAAUUCUGGAUGAGGCCCAUCAGAGCGGCGAGCUAAAAUUGAGCAAUAGGAAGCUUAAGGAUUUUCCUAAAGCGAAGGAUAAAUAUAAUUUGAGCGACACGGUUAUUGCAGAUCUUUCGAAAAACCGCUUCAACGAGCUUCCCGAAGAAGUAACGGAUUUCCACUUUUUAGAAAGGCUCCACUGUUACCACAACUCGAUCCGGCAUAUUCCUGACACGAUAAGUAGCUUGCAAUGUUUGAACUUUUUGGAUCUCAGCAGGAACCAGCUGACUACUUUGCCAAGGGAAAUUUGUCUUUUACCCAUACAAAUUCUCCUGGUCUCGAACAACCGACUCUCCUGCCUACCGGACGAUCUCUAUAAAAUGUCCCAUCUAACCGAACUGGACGCCUCUUGCAACCAAAUAACCCAUUUCCCCCCUCGAAUGGGAGAGCUACGCUCCUUACAAUCUCUGGUUUUACGCAGCAACCUUCUACUCGCCGUACCAGUAGAAAUAACAUUCUUGAAACUGAUGAGGCUGGACCUUAGCGCGAACAGAAUCAACACCUUACCAAUAGAGAUGCGAGAAAUGGAUAGCAUUAUCGAUUUAAUCAUCGAUGAGAACCCUUUAAUGAGUCCACCAGCUAGUCUAUGUAAACGGGGACGAGUGCACAUCUUUAAAUAUUUGGAGAUUGAGGCGAUGAAAAUCGCAAGUAAAACCGGCGGGAAUACCGGGACUCUCGGGAGAAGAUCGAGGAAGGGCGGGGCGGGAUCUCCCGGACCUUCUCACCUCGCCACGAGGUUAAAACACAAGAGGCAAAAUGUGGAUAGUGGGUACAGUACCAGUAGCGAUUGUUACGAGAAGAGGUGGUCGCAGGAGUUGGGAGGUGACGAAAAGUCUUCUUGGCCUUCAACCCCGAUCUUAGGGCGUAACAUUGACCACAUCAAGUCUACUACUUCCACCCCUUCGACCAUCUCACCCGCCACCGUUGAGGACGAUUUUAGCAAAAACGGAGAUCAUUUAGACAAACCUGACGGACAAUUGAAUGGCACAAGUGCUCGUCUUAGUCCUUGCGGUGAUCUAAUCAUUAAUGGGAACUCUAACGAUGACACACCCAAGAUACAGACUUAUAGAGAGUACAAGGAGGCCUUAAAGCAACAACGCCUACACGACGUACCGUCCAUCUAUCGUACCAAAGACCCGGACGAUCAAUCGCACACCAAAACCGAACCGAACACACCGACGCAUCAUCCACAGAACCAACUCGCCACCUCGAAAUCCGACCCGACCCCGUUAAAUUCGGCCUUCGGGAAUCCCCGAAGUAUUUUCGACGACACGGGCGGCGCCCUGAACGCCACAAAAAAGCCGGUUCAGAAGGUGCAACCGUCGCGGAAUACCAACUUUUCCUCGCCCCAACACACUGCCACCACGACCAACACUAGUGGCGGGUAUUCGAAUGGAACGAAGCUCGGUGGUGGCGGUGGGGUGUACGUUAAACCGAGCUCGCCCCUUAAAGGGGCGGGCGGUGGGUGUUUGGGACACGACAGCGUGCCCGCCAGUACGGGUGCGGCUGUUCAGGCUGUGAUUUUGAACGGAAAAACCAACAACUCGUCCACACUUCCGAAAUUGUCGAUGCCGAAUUACGUAAAUGGCACCACGUCCACACCAAAAUCCACCAACGGAAUAAAAUCGCAGAAAAAUCCCGGUUGGAACAAAGAAGGCGGCGAAAAAAUGACGUUUACCAUGAGAAGGGAGAUCGAUAAGGCCCGCGAGGAGACUGAUCUAAUUAAUCAACUCAGAACGAUAAUAGAGACAAGACUAAAGAUGGCUCUACCGGAAGAUUUGGCAUCGGCACUAACAGAUGGCGUAGUUCUCUGCCACCUGGCGAAUCAUAUCAAACCGAGAUCGGUGGCUAGCAUUCAUGUACCUUCUCCCGCAGUUCCUAAACUUACGAUGGCGAGAUGUCGGCGUAAUGUGGACAACUUCAUAGACGCUUGUCGGAAAAUUGGAGUUGAUGAGGGGCGGCUGUGCACCACGUGCGACGUCACCGAGGCGCUCCAGGGUCGCGGCCUACCCCGUCUAGUCACCACCCUCGAAGCCCUCUGCGAGCUGGUCGACGAGUCGCCCCUGGAACCACCUACAGCCAACAAUUCCGACCUCCGAUCGCAGCUGCCGCCUCAGGAACGACCUACGGACAAUAAUAACGAUGACAACGUGGAAAGGGAAUUCGUGAGGUUACCGCCCACGUGGUGGGACACGUUGUUUUCGUUGGUGUUGUUGUCGAUUUUUGUUAGUACGGUCGCCUUUUUGGUUACCUUUCCUCCGCCAAAUUGAAUCAUUUUUUUAUUUAUUUAUUUAAUAUAAGGGGUUAAUAUAGAAUGAAGGCCGUCUUGUACUGACGACUUGUACUCACAAUGAUGCAGCUUUAUUUUAGGUGAAUCCAUUGUUUUUAAAAUGGAAUUAAAAAAAACACAUCCUAAAAUCUGCUUUCGUGUUUACAACGACGUUUCGACAAUUUUUCAAAUCAAUUUAGUUGGGUCGAUUCCAAAAAAGUGAGGGCCGUUGUGAUACCUAUAAAUUUAAAUACGAUACUGACUAAAAUUUUUGAAAAGGACCUUAAAAUCAAACUACAGGUAAACCUCGAUGAUCCGUCAGGGUGCGACGGAUAUGAAAAAAAGACGGAAAAUAGAAAAAAAUACAAAUUUAUUUAAACAAACUUGCGAACAAAAAAGGAAUAAACAAACCUAUAUAAAAAUAAUAUUAAGUCAUAAACAUGAUGGCUUUUUUAAAAAAAUCUGUGAUUUUUUUUGCUUUAUCAUUUGGAAGCGUUUCUUUCUUGCAAGGUGGCGUAUUUUCCUCAAUAACACUAGUUGAACUAGUUCUGCUUCUUCUUGAUUUUCAUCUCAUUGUAUAAUUUUUGUUACCAUAUCCUCAGCUUCCACAUGGCUAAUGCUAUCUUCCGGAUUAUCUGGUAAGUCAUCUUCACAAUCUUCAUGAUCAGUGGCUUCUAAAGGUUUUAAAACGUGGUUAAUUAAUUCGUCGUCUGGUAAAAUAUCAUAUCCUACAUCCUGUUUGUCAAUAUCUAACCAAUUAGAAACGUCAUUUUCUGAGAUGUCUUCGAAUCCAGGAAGAUUUGAAAAUGUUUGCUUUAUGGAUGAAAUAUUAGGUGUUGGAUUUUCUUUCUGAUCGAGACCUGUAUUUUCGGUAGGCAACAAUUUAUUCCAACUUUUAUUCAAGGUUUCUGCGGGUAUACUGUUCCAAGCUUCAGCGGCAAUAUAUAUGGCCUCUUUUAUGAAAAAUAUUUUCCGAUAUUGUUUUAAGUCCGUAUCUGUCUCGGAAAUAAAUUCUUGGAUAAAAGCCUUUCGAUAUCUUCUCUUGAAACUUUCAAUAACCCCUUGGUCCAUAGGCUGAAUCAAGGAGGUCGUAUUUGCAGGCAAAAAGUGACAAGUUAUUUUACCAUCUUCGGACUUUAACUCUUCAAUAGGAUGAGUUGGCGCAUUAUCCACUAAAAGCAUAGCUUCUUCGGGAAGAUUUUCACGUAAGUAUUUUUUAACUUCAGGUAGAAAACACGUUCUAAACCAAUCAAUUAAUAUCUCUUGACUCAUCCAUGCACUUUUUUGGGCUCUAUAUUUCAUAGGCAAUAAUCCCAAAUCCAUGUUUUUUAAGGCACGAGGUUUUUUUGCUUUUCCAUUGACCACAAGCGGAAGCCUAUGAUCACCAUUUGCCCAUCACGCAUUUGCACAAGCCAUAAUCGUUAUGCGUUCCUUUUGAACUUUAUAUCCAGGUGCUGACAUCUCAGAAGAUGAAGCUAAUGUCGUUUGAGGAAGUGCCUUUCAAUUUAAGCCUGUUUCAUCGCAGUUGUAAACUUGAUUUCUUUGUAGACCACGCUUUUUAAUUUCCUCCCGAAGCUUGUUAACAUAAUCUACCACACUAUUAGCACUUAAUUUUUCACCUUCAAUAGAUAACUGCCUUAUUCCGUGUCGAAAUUUAAAUUUGUCCAACCAUUCGGUUUGGACGGACGGGUCGGUAUUUGGCAAUUUUUUAUUGAAUUCUAACGCUUUUUGUUGAAUAAUCGGGCCUCAUAAAGGUAUUCCCUGACUUCGCUGCUCGGCAAACCAGUAAAACACAACCGCAUGUAAUUCAUUGUGGGUAGCUAAUUUCAUCGUUUUUCGAUGAGUAACAUCACCAUCUGUUGAUUCCAUUUUGCUGAUAUGGUUUUCAAUGAUAUCUCCAUGCUUUUUUAAAUCAUUAAUUGUAGUUCGCGGAACAUUAUAAAAUCUUGACAGUGCUAUAGCGCGUUCUUCCUUUCUUAAUCGACACACAAUUUCAUAUAUUUUUUAGCCAAAUCCAGCACUACGCGCUUUCUUUUAUUAUCAGACAUUGUAAAAAGUGAAACAAAACAGUUUUACAUACACAAACACUGUACACUAAACACUAAACUAAACUAAAAAAAUAAACUAAACACACUGUAAACUAUCCACCCUAUACCUUAAAUAUUGAAACCGAUAUUAGAAGCUAAUUUGCACGAUGCGUUCGUAGUGCAUGCAAGUUAAAACAAAUCAGUCGGUCGCGCGGUCGGGCUCUGUUAAAUCUUUGCCGCCGGCAAAGUUUACUGAAUAAAAUACAAGUUGCUUCACUCGGCGAAAAACCUUUUAUGUUUUGAUCUCAAAGGCAGGGGAAUUCUGGUAAAAAAUACCUAUUAUUUUACGAGUUUCGUCUAAUUUGAACUCCCCUACAGUUCAAAUUAGACGAAACUCGUAAAAUAAUAAGACGGAGCACGAUUUUAUAACAACUUUAUUAUCUGGCAUAAAAUUAUUAUUUAAUGUACCUACUUGGGAAAAAUAUGUAAAUUAAUAAUACUUUAAAUUAUUUGUUUUUAUAGCCACCAAACUAAAUAAAUUUUACAUUAGCAAAGUUUACGUAAUUCAAGAACUAAAUGGUUAAAUUGUUUUUGUUAAUAAUUAGGUACUUAGGUAUCUUAUUAAAAAGGUUGUUUUGGUACGACUGGUUUCAUUAGGAUUUAUUUUUAAAUCAAAGUCAAAAGUUUGUGUAAAAAAAUGCAUAUAUUACUGUUACUAAACGUAACAACUAAAGAUAGAAAUAACUACUAAGUGACAGAAGACAUGUUUAAAUUUUCAAUGAUUGGUUACUACACUUUUUGACGUUUUUGUUAUUUUGUCAGACUAAUAAUAGCAUUACCAAAGACAUUAUAAGUAAUAAACGUAAUGUUUCAUUCAUAACCAGCCCAAAAAUGUGGAAUUUUAUUGUUUUAAAAUUAGUAGUGAGAGAGAAAAAGAUGGAAAAAGUGUUGUUAGUACCCCUUGGCAACAAUGCAUAUUUUCAAUUAAUUUUUGUUUGGUUUGUUGCCAGUGGGGUAGAGCUUAUGCACUAGUGCAAAUAAUAUUAUAAUAAUCGACAAAUUUGUAAUUUUCAUUUCCCCUCCUCACACUCCUUUCAGGAUUGUGUACUCUACAAAUAAUUUUCUAUAUCUAUAGGUGUUGUUUUUGUUGCUCUUCUGCAAUUUUAAAUAGAGGCGAAAAAUUUCAUUACAUAAUUAAUUAACCUUAAUAUUUUUCAUGUGACGACGCUGGUGGUAUAAAUACAAAAGUCUUUUGCUGUUUAAUCGUAUAACAAAUAAACUUAUCGAUGAAACGUUAAAUUUGGAUUUUAGUGCUCUACUCUCUUUACUACACAAGAAUGCACCAUGAUCGUUUAUUUUGGCAUUAAUUUUCUCCAAAAAAGUACGAAAACAACAAAAAACUGAUAAAACACAUUCUAAACACAAAACACGCCCUUAGACUCAAUAAUUUAAAGCGUUUAUUUGUUUUAAUUCCUUGGCAACAUCGCUCGGGAUUCAUUCAUUCAUAAUUUUUGACAGAACUCGAAAAAUAGUAAAACGUGCGUGAGACUGUAGCGCAACGUUGCCGAAGUGACUAAAUUUUUUAAUGCUCCAAGAUAUUUUUGUUUUGACUGCUGCCUUUAUUAAUAUUUUUGCUUUUAAAUUAAGUCGAUAAAAAAAAAUAAAAAUAAAAUAAGAGUUAAAUGUACAAAAGUUCCAUAACGCAUUUAUAUAGCAAAAUAAUAUAAGAAUAAAAUAAGAAGUUGACCAAAAUCCAACUUUCAUAUUUUAUUUUAUGUGAAAACGAAACUUUCAUUUUUCGGAUAUCUAAAAAACAUUAAACCACUUCCACGCUUUGUAAAACAACUGUCUAUCGAACAAUAAGUCGACAUUUUAAUAUAAUAGAUUAUAAUAAUUUGCCAGUCCACCCGGUACAACUAGUAAUAAAAUGCUCGCACAUCAAAUCGAUGUAAACUCUACUCACUGUGUAACCCAACAGAUUCGAUUGUAGGAGCGUCGCCCGGCAAAUGAAGUGAGGAGCGGUGAAUAGGUAAUUCGGCGCGUGGAGCCCAGUGAAGCAAAUUGUAUUUUAUUCAGUAAACUUUGCCGCCGGGCUGCGAAUUAAAUUCUCCGAAUUUAUUUUCAACAACAAGGUGGGGGUGACGAAUAACAGAAGUUGACGAAUAAUCGAGUGCCGGAUAAUCGAGGUUCUACUAUAGUUGAUUUUCUAGAAAAAUAUAAUAUCCUAAAUACUAAACAGUAUAGGAUAUAAAGGCCUUCAAUACAGUCAACGAAGACUUUUGUCAAGGCUGGAAGGGAUAGAAAUAACAGGACUGGACGAAGUCAAUUGGUAAAAAUUUGAUAUUUUCACAGCCAAGAAUUGACAGUUAAUACAGUAUUGAGCUUGGUUCUAUUUAUGAUAUACAUAGAUUAGCUCCUUAAAUUUACUUAUCGCAGUGUUCUGAUUUCAUAUUGCGACGAUAAGGUGUUGUUCAUUGACGAGAAAACCUGGGGAGAAAUUGAAAACUUUGCAAUCAUGAAGUUAUAAAAAAUUGUUUCAUGGAUCGAUGAAAAUUACUUGCGGUAAAUCUAGAAAAGAAAGUUUAUCUUUCUUUUGCACUCACAAAAAAAAAGGUUUACCGAGUAACCCAAUAAACGUGAAGUUACCUUUUAGAAAGGAACAAAACUGGGUCAUCCCAAUUUAUUUGACCGCAAAAUACCUCGCAGUAACGAUCGACUCACGGUUGAAAUGACGUGUACAUACAAACAAUCUUAUUAAAAUAUUAAGAUCUUUACCUUUCUUUGGUACAAUCGUUGCUCAAAUACGGUAUAAUAAGAUGGAGGGCACCUAUACUGAGCACUUAAAUUCUAACUCAUUUUUUAUUUAACCCAGACAUUACGGAAUUAAUUUUUGGAAAGAAAAAAUUAAAAUUCUUGUCAAAAAUGGUUGAUUAUAGUUCCUAAUAAUCAAAUUAAAAUAUUUUAUCCAAUUUUGUUAAACCAGAAUUUUUUUCAAAAAACUUGGGUUCUUUUAAAAGGUCGCUAGUAAUAUGGGGUACUAAUAAUACAACUAAAACUUUUUAAAUCAUUUAUCAAGGCGAAAUAUUCUAUAGUAUGUACUUAUGUUAUACAGUAUGGUACUCCUUAAAGCAAUCCUUGGGAUGCAGCCCGAUGUCACAUUUAUGGCAUCUAAACUGCACUUUCUUGUGACAAUUGCCACAUUUUGUUUGCUUCUCUUGAUAUAUAAUUAGAUGGUCAAUUCCAUCAUAUCGAGAGUAGGCAUGGGCAUUAUUUGAUAAUCUUGGGCGUCCCCUUUUUAAAGGUCUCUUAUAUGUUUCCAGGAAAUUAGUGGCAAUUGCUCUUCGGAAUGUAAGUUGAUCCAUUUUCCCCCCUUGGGGUCGGUGAAUUUGCCAUGCAUUCUGUACAGCCAUAUCAAUACAGUCAGAAAAGAGAGGAUAGUACCAUUUCUUUCCUCGGAUUGAGAUUCUAUAUAGUCCGAUCUUUUGAUCAAAUCUGGUUGAUCAACUAAUAUUAUCUUUUUUUCUUUCUGAGAAUACCGUUUUACUUGCCGAACAGGCUCAGAGGAACAUGCAUUACUAGCUAUAGAUACAACAUUAUUGUCAUUUCACUUACAUACAAAUAUUUUGGAAGCAUUAGACAUACCAUAGGAGCUUUCAAAUUUGCCCCUUUCAGACUUUUUUAAAAUCCUUGAUGAUGGUAAAGGACAUAAACCAAGCCUAUUUUCUCUAAUAGUACCUGUAGCUUUUACACCUCUCUGGGUGAGUACGUCUAAUAAUGGAAGGCUCGUAAAAAAAUUUUCAAGGUAAAAAUGAAAAUUUAAGUUUACUUUUGAUGUAUAUUAGAGCAUCAGCAAAUCGUAAAAUUACACCAGGGCCUAAUCCCAAGUCUUUAUAGGAUUGAGCAGGCUGCUGAAUAAAUGAACCCUGAUAUGGUUCAAAACAUAACUACAUAACCUAGUCUGGUUGAUCCCACCCAAAAUAUGUAGCCCCAGCGAAUAGGUUUUCCGCGUAUAAACUGCCCAUAAUAGGGGACCAUAGCCUCAUCAAUACAGUAAUUUUGUUUAUUCGGAGAAAAUAACAUAAAACGCUGAUUUAAAACAUUGAAGAGAGGCUUCGUUUUAGAAAAUUUAUCAUUUUUAUCGAGAUCAUUAUUAUCGCAGCAAUGAAUGUUUUUCAUUAUAUAUGUAAAUCUAUCACGAGACAUUGCGGAAGCAAUUAAUUCAUUUUGAGAGUCGUUAGCAGUCUCCCAAUACAUAAAUCGUUUUGGUACUCUGUAUUAGAUAUAUAGUACUUUGGUACUCAAAAUACCAAUGAAGCACUGUAUUUCAUCAACGCUUAUAUCUGCAGGACGGUUAUUUUCGCUGCAAUAAUUAUUGGUAUAGAGAUGCAAGAGAUGUAACAUCAUUAUCAAAAAAUAGUUUAAAUAGAUUCAAAGGAGAAAUAUUAUUUGGAGGUUCGACUGGGUUUAAAAAAUUAGGAAAAUCGUUAAGAGCAGCAUUGUUUGUCCAUGAAAAAGAUUUGGCUGGUGUUAUGAUCUCCCCUUGGGCUUUCGUAACAUUUGAAACAAAUUUGGUUUUGCCACAAAGUACUGAGAGAGGAACAUCCUCGUCAGAAUCCGCCUCUAAAUCGGAGUUUUCACAACUUUUGAUUGAAUUCAUGAUUUCGACAGGUGCUCGAAGUUGACUUCCGGGUAAAUUAUUUAGUAUCUACCAAGUCCUCUUCACCUGAAUCUUCAUCGGUAUGGUGCAGUUUCGGGUGGAAAAAUCACUAAUUCUACAGGCGUAUCAUCUUCGUCAAUAUAGGCAUUCUCAGCCUCAAUUAGAAGCUCAUGUAAAGUGAGUGGUUUUUUAUAGCUGAAAUUAAAAUAUAAACAUAAGUAAAUAUACAUACAUAUUAUACAAUCUUUGGUUACCAAUAUCAUUUUUUAAUAAUUGGGUAACAAUUUAAAAAAAUGCAAAUUUAUAAAAAAUAUCUAUAAUUUCACAAAGACACAAAGUAUUACUCUCCAAAGAACAAAUAAUUAUCAUUCUUUUAUUAUAUAUACUGCAUACCUAUUAGAUGCUCAAAUUACUAGCGUUACAAGGCCACCAAAGAUAUCCCUACCGGCAAAACGUAAACUUAUGCAUCUCUUUUUUAUUAUUGCAUAUCGCCAAAGUAAGUAUUUUUAAUUAUAAUUAACAUAAUUUUCAUCCAAUUACUUUUAAUUUGUUUCAUUUACUUACCUCCAAUUACUCAUAGUUUUAUAACAAAAUAUACACGUCACAAAAAACUACUUAGCUUGUAUACAAAUUCGCAAACUGACAGCCACCUGUUUCUAGAAUAUUUCUACAAGUUCCGGAAAUACAAUUCAACAGGUAUAUCAGUCACUCUAUUUUUCGGGCGGUAGCUGUAACGUGAAAUACAGCAUUCUGUGUGGCGUACUUUUAAAAGGACGCUAGUAAUAUUUGGGUUAAAUCGACGAUUUUCCUCAACAGAACUUUUUCAACAUACAUACCAACUAUUAAAUAAAUAUUUUAUAGACAAUCUAUAUGUCAAUUAAUAAAAAAACAAACUAUUAGGACAAUCUUCAACUCAAAACCACAAACAUAGCACGCGAUUUCAAACUUAACUAAAUAUUAUAACAAGCAGACAGAAUAGAGUUAUUGGACAACAAAGCUAUUGCUACGCUGGUAGUUUUUAAUAAAUUACCACUUGAACUAAAACAGAUAAUAAAUCAAAAGCAUUUUUGUUAAUUAAUGUUUACUAUGGCAAAAGUUUAGUUUUCAACAAAAAAAAUAGUAGACACUUUCCAGGAUUUAUAAAGUUUCACUUUUUACGCACUAGUGCCUAAAAAAACACGUUGAAACGUUGAAGUUACUUGCUCUUCUUCCCUUUCAGGGGUCUGUUGGUUUUAAAUUACAUUGAAAGUAUUUUAAGUGUAUAACAAUGAAAAUCCAAUUUCUUAAAUCAAUUACAUUGCACAAUCCAAUCUGUGCAAGAAAAGUAAUAAUAUGAUCUAUUAUAUUUCUUGGUUUGUAUAUUGUUGAAUGCCACUUUUUGGAAUAGCUAUUGAGAUUAUUUAUAUUUAUAAAGGCAAAUUAUUAUAGUAAACUAGUUUUCAAACAAAGACAGGACUUUUCCAAAAACCAUUUUGAAAAUUAGAGAGUAAUCUUUUGUUCCAAGAGUUUUAUACAAUACUUUUUCGAAAAUUUUAAGGUUUAAUAUGAAAAGAAAAAGACUUCUUAUAAAGUAAUUUAAAUUUUAAUCUCCCCGGAGAUGAUGAAAUAUAGUGUCGAAACGUUAAUGUAAACAUAAAAACAGAUUUAUGUGUUUCCUUUUUAAUUGACCCCAAUCUAACUAUAUGUAUUAUUUACGUUAAGAAGCACUUUUUGAGUCACAAACACCAUUUCUACAUUUUGUGAAAAAACAAAAUAUAAUUUAGUGCUUAAAAAAAAAAUAUAUGUUCUAAAGUGAACAAAUUUACAUACCAAAUUUCCUCAUAAUACCUAUAGAAAAUCAAACAAAACUUUCCCAGUGUUCACUCUAAAUGUUCGUGAUAACAUUCCAACUUUGGCAUUUUUUUGCUUAACAAAUAUAAUAUUAUUACGUCAGGUUGUAAUCCUUCCUCUCAGUAUUUACCUAUUGUUUUUCAUAUUAUUUUAAUUUAAUUAGUAUUAACGCUCCUACGCAAAUAUUUGGGUUGCCAGGAAAAAACCGAUUGUCGCAGGUUUUUCGCGAUACCAGUCCUUUAUAAACUUAACAGAUAACGUUUUUCUAAGAAAACGACUGACUUCAUUUAAAAAGUGAUUUUUGCAAUUCUGUGAAACGUGAACAAUUGUUUCUCCUGGCAAACCAAAUAUUAAUUAUAAUAAAAAUAAGAAAAAUAUCAAAAAAAAAAAAAAAAUAGAAGCAUAGAUGAAGUUUAUUAAGUGAAAAUUAUAAAUUCGAGCUGUUUUCAGUGCCUAUUGUUUUAAGUGAUAACGGAAGUAGGGUUAGUGUGCUUUAAGCAUUUCUUUUUGUUGAUUAGGCUUAUAGCUUUUUAGAAAGAAUCGUUUUUAUAAGUUUUCAGCUAUUUUUUAAGAGAAACUUAAAACUCUUAAGGAAUUGUGUCAAAAAUCUCAGGAUUUUUCAAAAUAAAUCAAAAAAACAAAGUAGCGGACCCUUGUGAAAUUUUAUAUUUUUCUAUUAUACAUCACAAUACGCUUAAAGCAUAUUAUGGAAAAGUAGUUAUAGAGCUAUGAAGUAUUUCUUCUUUUUUUUUGUUCUAGUCAACUGACAAAUUUUAGGUUAAGAAUUUCACGCCUGAUCAUUAAAGCUUAGAAGUAAAUCGCUAUAAUCUUUAAUGGUUGGGACCCUCCUCGUAAUAUUUCCCAGUAUUAAAUAACGAAAAAUCAAGACUGGUUACUCGACUAUUCCACUAACACAAGAAUUUCUUUUAUAUUUUUGUUAUUAAAUAUUUAAUAGUUAGUUAUUUUGUUACCUUUUUUCCCCUCUUUUAUUUUGUUUCUUUUUAUGGUUUAGGUUUAAGAGUUCAAAAGUUUUUGUUGUACUUAUUGCAUUGUUUCGGUGCUACGCUUAAAAGUUUUUCAAUAAAAUAUUUAUAUACCAAAA
RNAcentral lists this unclassified non-coding RNA (12135 nucleotides) under Anthonomus grandis grandis. Its description in RNAcentral is "leucine-rich repeat and calponin homology domain- containing protein". The record is from RNAcentral. Lineage: Eukaryota; Metazoa; Arthropoda; Insecta; Coleoptera; Curculionidae.